AAGACGAAGACACAAACCGAGAAGCGACAUGAGAGACCACGCUGUGAGGUGGUGGCAAGGCAGAGGAGGAGGAGGACGUCGAUGGGCGUUGCAUGCACCUGUUCACCGAACAUUUUCCGCGCUGAGCCAAACGAAAACAAAAAGGAGGUGGAAGAGGCAGGAGUAUGGGCGGAUGCCCCCCCCCCCCCCCGGGUGAUCGGCGCCGCAGAGUGGUAAUGUGCGCAUUACUGCUGCUAACAGGUCUGCUUUUGUUGUACCACCAACAAGAGCUGGAUCCCGUGGAGUCUGCUGCGGAGGCCUCUCUUUUCUUGUUCCCCAUGGUGGAGAGGAUAAUCGUGAGAGAGAUUGGUGCCUGUGAUCUGCCUGUCUUAUUCGUUUUCGCGUGCGGUUGUGCUGCAGCGGCGCGUGUCUGUGCGCACGCGUGCCGGGGAGCUGCACGUGUAUGAUAGUGGCGGCGCCGUGUUGAACAUGCGCGCUUUGCCCUGGCGCAGGUCCGCUGUGCUUUUCUCUUCAUUUUACACGUUCGCUCAUAGCGAGCAAAAAG
RNAcentral lists this unclassified non-coding RNA (544 nucleotides) under Leishmania donovani. RNAcentral describes it as "gene:unknown". Lineage: Eukaryota; Euglenozoa; Kinetoplastea; Trypanosomatida; Trypanosomatidae. The record is from RNAcentral.